RNAcentral lists this ribosomal RNA (240 nucleotides) under uncultured Actinomycetales bacterium. RNAcentral describes it as "partial 16S ribosomal RNA". It matches the Rfam family "Bacterial small subunit ribosomal RNA", at positions 90 to 334 of the family's 1533-position model. The record is from RNAcentral. Lineage: Bacteria; Bacillati; Actinomycetota; Actinomycetes; Actinomycetales.
GUCGAGUGGCGAACGGGUGAGUAACACGUGGGUGAUCUGCCCUGCACUUCGGGAUAAGCCUGGGAAACUGGGUCUAAUACCGGAUAGGACGAUGGUUUGGAUGCCAUUGUGGAAAGUUUUUCGGUGUGGGAUGAGCUCGCGGCCUAUCAGCUUGUUGGUGGGGUAAUGGCCUACCAAGGCGUCGACGGGUAGCCGGCCUGAGAGGGUGUACGGCCACAUUGGGACUGAGAUACGGCCCAG